Molecule: ribosomal RNA, 253 nt
Filed under: uncultured bacterium
Lineage: Bacteria
Description: partial 16S ribosomal RNA
Rfam family: Bacterial small subunit ribosomal RNA
Source: RNAcentral
UACGUAGGGGGCAAGCGUUGUCCGGAUUUAUUGGGCGUAAAGAGCGUGUAGGCGGCCUGACAGGUCUGCUGUGAAAACUCGAGGCUCAACCUCGAGAUGUCGGCGGAAACCCUCUGGCUAGAGUCCGGAAGAGGAGAGUGGAAUUCCUGGUGUAGCGGUGAAAUGCGCAGAUAUCAGGAAGAACACCCGUGGCGAAGGCGGCUCUCUGGGACGGUACUGACGCUGAGACGCGAAAGCGUGGGGAGCAAACAGG